Molecule: long non-coding RNA, 352 nt
Filed under: Pan troglodytes (chimpanzee)
Lineage: Eukaryota; Metazoa; Chordata; Mammalia; Primates; Hominidae
Description: long non-coding RNA NONPTRT001898
Source: RNAcentral
AGGUGAGAUGGUUACUAAGUGACCUCAGGUUGGCCGAACUCUUUUAUGCCCAGCCCUGUAUACAUCUUAUUUUAUCCAGUCUUCCCACUCACCCUUUGAGAAACAGAGGAAGAUUCCAAUGACAGAAGGAAGAGGACAUCUCUAUACUUCUGCCCAUUCAAGCUGUGUUCGGAAUGUUGUCUUCAUCUCAUUUUAUAGUUGUAAAGAGGAAAAGUAGCCUCAGGCUAUACAACUCAAGGUCUCUGCCCCAACCUGGCCUCCACCUGUACCACCAAAUCAGACACCUUUUUUAUAGGUGAUCAUGAUUUUUUUUUGCCAGUAUAUCUACUUAUCAUUCCCAUCAACAUGCUGG